CCCGCAAAUGUUCAUCUCCCAAGUCCCAUUCCUAUUCGCAAUAAGUCAUUUGUCGCCACCCCUCCUCCGGGUCGCUCUGCUUACGCCCCUCGAGUAAAUUUUGACCUGAUAUGUCUAAUAAAAGCUGUUACCCACUGCUGCUGGACUGGUCUGUCGCCUAGUCACCAACUCCACUCAACUUUGGAAGAAACGUCACCGGGACUGAUUGACAACAAACGUUGCAGAGACAAAGACAGCAAAAAGCAUUCGGAGGGAGGCAGUUCUUGAGAAGACCAAUCACUUCGGAGGAUGGGAGGCGCGACAAUA
Macrobrachium nipponense is the source of this 306-nucleotide long non-coding RNA. RefSeq lists it as uncharacterized. The transcript is spliced from 3 exons. NCBI's taxonomy places the organism in Eukaryota, Metazoa, Arthropoda, Malacostraca, Decapoda, Palaemonidae. The record is from RefSeq and is a predicted model, not a curated record.